UAAUGUAUCUCAUCCCUUAUCUUACAAUUAAAAUACUACUACUACUACCUAAUUAAAGAAGAGAUCAAAAUAGGUCCCGACCUAAUUGCUUGGUUGUUGGUUGAGUUUUCUCCUCCUCCUCCUUCUCAUCAUCAUCAUCACAAAGUUGGUGUUUGAUCGGAAUUAGUAGUUCGUUCCAUCAUCCAUGGCCUUCAAAUGACUCAUCUACCCUUUAUUUUGGGGGCAUGAAAAGAAAUUUUCAAAUACUAUUUAAAACCGUACGUUUUAG
Molecule: long non-coding RNA, 268 nt
Filed under: Panax ginseng (ginseng)
Lineage: Eukaryota; Viridiplantae; Streptophyta; Magnoliopsida; Apiales; Araliaceae
Description: long non-coding RNA (PGIN_LNC007344)
Source: RNAcentral